UACGUAGGGUGCGAGCGUUAAUCGGAAUUACUGGGCGUAAAGCGUGCGCAGGCGGUUUUGUAAGCCAGAUGUGAAAGCCCCGGGCUUAACCUGGGAAUGGCAUUUGGGACUGCAAGGCUGGAGUGCGGCAGAGGAGACUGGAAUUCCUGGUGUAGCAGUGAAAUGCGUAGAUAUCAGGAGGAACACCAAUGGCGAAGGCAGCUCGCUGGGACGGUACUGACGCUGAGGCGCGAAAGCGUGGGGAGCAAACAGG
Molecule: ribosomal RNA, 253 nt
Filed under: uncultured bacterium
Lineage: Bacteria
Description: partial 16S ribosomal RNA
Rfam family: Bacterial small subunit ribosomal RNA
Source: RNAcentral